Bombyx mandarina (wild silkworm) is the source of this 258-nucleotide long non-coding RNA. The record is from RefSeq and is a predicted model, not a curated record. NCBI's taxonomy places the organism in Eukaryota, Metazoa, Arthropoda, Insecta, Lepidoptera, Bombycidae.
GAAUUGUAUAAGUUCCUAAACGCAUCUUUAUGUCAAUAUCAACUGACAGCUGUCACUCUUGUUAUAUAUGUCAACGUCGUUUGUGUGUGCGCCCCUUUUCGUUCUUGCGUCGUCAAUGAGUACGGACACAAAAUAUUGUAUCGCCGAUAGAAUAAAUACUAUCCAUAAAAAUCUGCGUCUUUAUUAUAAGAAAACCAGACGAUCACUCCAACACUUCAAACCUUAGAACUUAUAUCUCAAGGUGGGUGGCGCAUUUAC